UAGCCUAUGUCAGCUAGGCUUCAGUACUUUCUCAGAAUCUAUUUAAAGAACAGAUUAAUUACAGUAAACCGGCCGCGUAUCAACCAUCAUCCUAUUUAUAAGUUGCAGAAUUCAAAAAUGGUGCGCUGGGAAGGAAAAUAUUAUAACGUAGACGGCACUGGGAAUGUCAAAGACCCUCUACUCUUUUUUAUAGUCAACAGUCCUAUUCAUACAGCAAGUGCUCGUGGUUCCCAUGACCGUCUUUUUUCCAUACCCACUACCUGGAUGAGCGACGACAAGUCGACUUUUCUACAUCCACCAAUGGAUCUGAAGGUUGGAGGAAUCAAUUUUUGGGACUGGAGUUUAAUAACAUUGAAAAAAAGAAGGUUUCCGGAAUCCAGGACCGAGCUUCAAAUGUCAGACUUUUUAACAGAAGUUGACUUCCCAAAUUCAUUUGAAGAUUCGAAAAAUGAGAUCUCGUCCAUAUUGAAUCUCUCUCCGGUGGAAUCAAUUAUGAUUUAAAAGAGCGUACUACAACUCGGGAAUACUCCCAAGCGUAAAACCACCAGCCCAGGAAACACCAAAGCCAGUGGAGAAGAGGAAAAACAAAUAUGAAGUUAACUUAGCUUCUCCUAAUCAUGGACCUUUGAGCAAGAGAUUGGAUAACACGUCCACUCCUAUAUUGGCGAUCAAAAAUUUUCAGAAUCGAAUGGCUGCGACAUUUAAUGCUAAUAGUAGCGACUCAGAAGAAGCAUACAACGAGGAUUCUCAGUUUAUUGAAAAAUCCAAAGGUGAACAAGAGGGUCUCAAAUCUGCUGCCAAAUCAAAAAACAUUUUCACAUAUCAAUAAUUCAGGCGAUUCGGGUAUGUCAUCAUAUUUCGUUGAUUUAAACGAUCGUGAUCUUGAUGAUAUAGGUGAUAACAUUCUAUUGGACCUGAAUGUUAAAACUUUACCCUCGGCUUUACCCAAAGAACCGUCGGUGAGUUUGGAUGACGGAAACUUGACAAGUUACCGAAAACUCCUGUUUUCUAAAUUAGACCUGAUUGUAAAGGGGCUAAAUAGUUUGCAAAGCGAAAAAACACGCAAUGCCGUUAUUUUUUAAGGGAAUUUAGUCAACUUUACCAAGACUUUCACUGAUUCCGUAACUCUGCCUUUGAACGAUUAUUCCGAACUAGUCGCCUUAGAUUUGGCGCUUGGAAGUGUCGAGCUUUCCGUCAGCAUGGUUGGAGUAUUCGUCCAACGCUUAAGAACUUACAAUACAGAAAGCGGAGUUUCCAAAAAGUUGUGGAGUUCGAUUUUGUCCGGAACCUUGGCUAUAGGAAUUACAUGGAAAGUUAGGCUUAAUGAUGCCCGUCCAGCUUAUGGGCACAUGAUAAAUCUCGUUGCCGUCUUAGCUGUAAUAAUUCAAUUGAUUAUGGAAUCAACAGAGAAGACCCCAAUUACAAUAUUGAAGAUGAUCAAAGUUAUCCAAGAUGGGCGCAGAAAUGUUGCCUGGUCUUUCAAUACAAAAAUAGGAAACAAGCAGCGUAAUGACCCCGUUCCAAUGCGGGAGAGUUCUCUCAAAGAUCAGCUUGACUCUGAUACUGUCACCAAAAUAGAUGCACGGAUUACAAAAAUUACAAAAUCCUUUAAGACGUUUGGACUAAAUUAAAUCAAAUUAUGUCCUACUGUGUUUCUUUGUUUCAAUACAUAUUUGAA
This 1678-nucleotide long non-coding RNA is filed under the name Daphnia pulicaria. RNAcentral describes it as "uncharacterized LOC124325281". Lineage: Eukaryota; Metazoa; Arthropoda; Branchiopoda; Diplostraca; Daphniidae. The record is from RNAcentral.